GAGUUCCAUCCAGUUCAGCUUUCGGGGUUACCUACGAAUCUUCUAUGGUUCUCUUCACCCUGUGGAAAGUCCCCGGAGACAAGGCGGAAAGCGUCACACCGUGAAGGUGCAGGCCGGUGCGGCGUCGUAGGGUAGGUCGACCUGCGCGAUGUCGCUCCGUAGCGUUGCUCAGAGCACAGGGAAUGUUGAGAGGACUCUGUCCAUAACCAAAUGGGGCUUACUCGGAACGGAACU
RNAcentral lists this RNase MRP RNA (234 nucleotides) under Danaus plexippus plexippus. RNAcentral's name for it is "RNase MRP". It matches the Rfam family "RNase MRP". Rfam says of the family: RNase MRP is an enzymatically active ribonucleoprotein with two distinct roles in eukaryotes. In mitochondria it plays a direct role in the initiation of mitochondrial DNA replication. In the nucleus it is involved in precursor rRNA processing, where it cleaves the internal transcribed spacer 1 between 18S and 5.8S rRNAs. Lineage: Eukaryota; Metazoa; Arthropoda; Insecta; Lepidoptera; Nymphalidae. The record is from Rfam by way of RNAcentral.